Molecule: ribosomal RNA, 819 nt
Filed under: Enterobacter sp.
Lineage: Bacteria; Pseudomonadati; Pseudomonadota; Gammaproteobacteria; Enterobacterales; Enterobacteriaceae
Description: bacterial SSU rRNA
Rfam family: Bacterial small subunit ribosomal RNA
Source: RNAcentral
GGGAGCUUGCUCCUGGGUGACGAGCGGCGGACGGGUGAGUAAUGUCUGGGAAACUGCCUGAUGGAGGGGGAUAACUACUGGAAACGGUAGCUAAUACCGCACAACGUCGCAAGACCAAAGAGGGGGACCUUCGGGCCUCUUGCCAUCAGAUGUGCCCAGAUGGGAUUAGCUAGUAGGUGGGGUAACGGCUCACCUAGGCGACAAUCCCUAGCUGGUCUGAGAGGAUGACCAGCCACACUGGAACUGAGACACGGUCCAGACUCCUACGGGAGGCAGCAGUGGGGAAUAUUGCACAAUGGGCGCAAGCCUGAUGCAGCCAUGCCGCGUGUAUGAAGAAAGCCUUCGGGUUGUAAAGUACUUUCAGCGGGGAGGAAAGUGUUGAGGUUAAUAACCUCGGCAAUUGACGUUACCCGCAGAAGAAGCACCGGCUAACUCCGUGCCAGCAGCCGCGGUAAUACGGAGGGUGCAAGCGUUAAUCGGAAUUACUGGGCGUAAAGCGCACGCAGGCGGUCUGUCAAGUCGGAUGUGAAAUCCCCGGGCUCAACCUGGGAACUGCAUUCGAAACUGGCAGGCUAGAGUCUUGUAGAGGGGGGUAGAAUUCCAGGUGUAGCGGUGAAAUGCGUAGAGAUCUGGAGGAAUACCGGUGGCGAAGGCGGCCCCCUGGACAAAGACUGACGCUCAGGUGCGAAAGCGUGGGGAGCAAACAGGAGUAGAUACCCUGGUAGUCCACGCCGUAAACGAUGUCGACUUGGAGGUUGUUCCCUUGAGGAGUGGCUUCCGGAGCUAACGCGUUAAGUCGACCGCCUGGGGAGUACGGCC